UACGAAGGGGGCUAGCGUUGCUCGGAAUCACUGGGCGUAAAGGGCGCGUAGGCGGAUUUUUAAGUCGGGGGUGAAAGCCCAGGGCUCAACCCUGGAAUUGCCUUCGAUACUGAAGAUCUUGAGUUCGGGAGAGGUGAGUGGAACUGCGAGUGUAGAGGUGAAAUUCGUAGAUAUUCGCAAGAACACCAGUGGCGAAGGCGGCUCACUGGCCCGAUACUGACGCUGAGGCACGAAAGCGUGGGGAGCAAACAGG
Molecule: ribosomal RNA, 253 nt
Filed under: uncultured bacterium
Lineage: Bacteria
Description: partial 16S ribosomal RNA
Rfam family: Bacterial small subunit ribosomal RNA
Source: RNAcentral